Oryctolagus cuniculus (rabbit) is the source of this 1439-nucleotide long non-coding RNA. RefSeq lists it as uncharacterized. The record is from RefSeq and is a predicted model, not a curated record. NCBI's taxonomy places the organism in Eukaryota, Metazoa, Chordata, Mammalia, Lagomorpha, Leporidae.
AGGAGGGGGUCACUCUCAGGAUUGCUGACAAGCACGAGAUCGUUUUUAGCUUUUGUAAUGGAAGUGUUUCACCAAGAAACCCAGACAAGAAAGAUGGGGUUGAGAAAAAGAAACCUCAAAGACAGAAGCGGGGAACAGAAGAGGAUUUAAAUGCUGGCAAAGUCUGGAGCUCUUGCCAGCCACGGAGCAAUGCGGGGUCAGGAAAUGGGCUAGCACUGCUCCCAUCCUCAUAGAAGACCACUGAUGAAGGCUGCUCAAGUUUUAACAACAAGCGUUACACACCACUUCAAGGAUGACCUACUGUUGUCCAAAAAGCCUGUCUGGAUGGUGUGCUUGGCCUGUAGGGUGCUGGGGUGCAAGGGCUGCAAAGGAAGGAGCUACCACGUCCAGAUUCAGUGCGAGUCACUCAGGAGACAGCUAGAUGGCUGGCAUGUUCACGUACUGACAGGCAACCCCAAAGCUGCACAGAUGCUAACUUUCUCCCUCUCCAGGAUGUGAAUUUGUUUAACAAACAGGCAAACGAGGACUUAAGGCCAUUGUAACAGACCGAGAAGAUCCAGGUAAACGCAUGUAGCAGCUUAAGAGCUUCUUCAGCUUCCCUCACAGCUCUCCUAAGAGGGUUUUGUCCUGUUAGCAGAACCGUGGUGGAACUAUAUUGACUAAAAUUCAAAUGAAAACUUUACAUAAAAAGCUACCCACCUAAACUUAAGGGCUUCAUCAUCUCUCCUUGGGAACUCAUUCAUCGGACCUUCAGAUCCAAGUCUACCCCACUGAGAACCCACAGUUCAACAGUCCCUAUCUGUCCUCACCAAGGUCACUGCCACAUAUCACUGUUGUUACCUUAACAUUAAUUUAAAAACUCUAAACUUCAAACACACACCAUAUUUUAUUGCUGUUGGUAUUAUGAACUAUUAAAAAGUAUUAGAUUAAGUUUUAAAAAUCAAUAUUAUAAUCAUUUGGUGCGCAAUCCCACACAUUUAACACUCAAUUUAACUCAUUUGCUAUCUCACACACAACCAACACAAUAUGCAAGAAACAACUGCUGGGAAUUGUUUCAGAUGCUCUAAAGUAUGUUAAUUUCCAAAGCAAAAUGACUUGCACUGUGAAUUUUAACGCACUUGAAAGCCUGUACUUUCUCUCGUUCUGGAACACAAAUUUUGCAUGUCUGAAGAGCUGUGAUUCAUCUUAAGAAAACCCAUCUUGUGUUAAAUGGAAUGGAAACUGGACUAAGUGGUCAAAUGACAAGUACAUUCAUAUUCAAGCUGUAUUAUAAAUGCAUGUACAGUAAUUUACGUCUCUCAGCUACCACAAAAGGCUCUUGAUAAGCAGGUAAUUUGCUAAAUGGACUCCUUUAUCCAAGUAUUCGAAGGGCGUUACAAGAAAAAUCUGCAGAGGCAUUAAUGUGACGUAAAGGUCAAGCAUUGUGACAUACCUUUCAA